This 65-nucleotide transfer RNA is filed under the name Melanips sp. ZJUH 20220003. RNAcentral describes it as "tRNA-Trp". Lineage: Eukaryota; Metazoa; Arthropoda; Insecta; Hymenoptera; Figitidae. The record is from RNAcentral.
AUAAUUUUAAGUUAAAUAAAACUAUUAACUUUCAAAGUUAAAAUUAUAUUAUUAUAUAAAUUAUU